GGGGCAGUCGUCUAGCUUGGUCUAAAGCCUCCUAGGCUUACCAAAAGGAUCCCAGCCUGGGGCGCUGGAGGUCCGGGGUUCAAAUCCCCGCUGCCCCA
This 98-nucleotide transfer RNA is filed under the name Candidatus Bathyarchaeota archaeon. Its description in RNAcentral is "tRNA-Pro". It matches the Rfam family "tRNA". Rfam says of the family: Transfer RNA (tRNA) molecules are approximately 80 nucleotides in length. Their secondary structure includes four short double-helical elements and three loops (D, anti-codon, and T loops). Further hydrogen bonds mediate the characteristic L-shaped molecular structure. tRNAs have two regions of fundamental functional importance: the anti-codon, which is responsible for specific mRNA codon recognition, and the 3' end, to which the tRNAs corresponding amino acid is attached (by aminoacyl-tRNA synthetases). tRNAs cope with the degeneracy of the genetic code in two manners: having more than one tRNA (with a specific anti-codon) for a particular amino acid; and 'wobble' base-pairing, i.e. permitting non-standard base-pairing at the 3rd anti-codon position. Lineage: Archaea; Thermoproteati; Candidatus Bathyarchaeota. RNAcentral also lists the same sequence under 1 other name. The record is from RNAcentral.